UAGUGAGUUUGAUCCUGGCUCAGAACGAACGCUGGCGGCAGGCCUAACACAUGCAAGUCGAGCGCCCCGCAAGGGGAGCGGCGGACGGGUGAGUAACGCGUGGGAACGUGCCCUGAGGUUCGGAAUAGCCCUGGGAAACUGGGAGUAAUACCGUAUAGUCCUCUCUGGAAGGAAAGAUUUAUCGCCUUGGGAUCGGCCCGCGUUGGAUUAGGUAGUUGGUGGGGUAACGGCCUACCAAGCCGACGAUCCAUAGCUGGUUUGAGAGGAUGAUCGAGCCACACU
This 282-nucleotide ribosomal RNA is filed under the name uncultured Alphaproteobacteria bacterium. RNAcentral describes it as "partial 16S ribosomal RNA". It matches the Rfam family "Bacterial small subunit ribosomal RNA", at positions 1 to 314 of the family's 1533-position model. Lineage: Bacteria; Pseudomonadati; Pseudomonadota; Alphaproteobacteria. The record is from RNAcentral.